GGGGGCGUGGCCAAGUGGUUAAGGCACCAGACUUUGACUCUAGUAUCGCAGGUUCAACUCCUGCCGCCCCUGCCA
Molecule: transfer RNA, 75 nt
Filed under: Clostridiales bacterium
Lineage: Bacteria; Bacillati; Bacillota; Clostridia; Eubacteriales
Also listed under: 4 other names
Description: tRNA-Gln
Rfam family: tRNA
About the family: Transfer RNA (tRNA) molecules are approximately 80 nucleotides in length. Their secondary structure includes four short double-helical elements and three loops (D, anti-codon, and T loops).
Source: RNAcentral